UACGUAGGGCGCAAGCGUUGUCCGGAAUUAUUGGGCGUAAAGAGCUCGUAGGCGGCCUGUUACGUCUGCUGUGAAAUCCCGGGGCUUAACCCCGGGCGUGCAGUGGAUACGGGCAGGCUGGAGGCAGGCAGGGGAGAACGGAAUUCCCGGUGUAGCGGUGAAAUGCGCAGAUAUCAGGAGGAACACCGGUGGCGAAGGCGGAUCUCUGGGCCAUUACUGACGCUGAGGAGCGAAAGCGUGGGGAGCGAACAGG
This 253-nucleotide ribosomal RNA is filed under the name uncultured bacterium. RNAcentral's name for it is "partial 16S ribosomal RNA". It matches the Rfam family "Bacterial small subunit ribosomal RNA", at positions 524 to 776 of the family's 1533-position model. The record is from RNAcentral.